Molecule: ribosomal RNA, 398 nt
Filed under: uncultured bacterium
Lineage: Bacteria
Description: partial 16S ribosomal RNA
Rfam family: Bacterial small subunit ribosomal RNA
Source: RNAcentral
AUACGUAGGUGACAAGCGUUAUCCGGAUUUACUGGGCGUAAAGAGCUCGUAGGUGGUUUGUCGCGUCGUCUGUGAAAUUCCGGGGCUUAACUCCGGGCGUGCAGGCGAUACGGGCAUAACUUGAGUACUGUAGGGGAGACUGGAAUUCCUGGUGUAGCGGUGAAAUGCGCAGAUAUCAGGAGGAACACCGGUGGCGAAGGCGGGUCUCUGGGCAGUAACUGACGCUGAGGAGCGAAAGCAUGGGUAGCGAACAGGGUUAGAUACCCUGGUAGUCCAUGCCGUAAACGGUGGGCGCUAGGUGUAGGGGUCUUCCACGACUUCUGUGCCGUAGCUAACGCAUUAAGCGCCCCGCCUGGGGAGUACGGCCGCAAGGCUAAAACUCAAAUGAAUUGACGGGG